GGCUGGUCCAAGUGCAGUGGUGUUUACAAAGAAUUGAUCACAACCACUUACACAUUUCAGCAUUCCUUCCCCACUCCACUGCCUUGCUUGACUAGCCUAAA
Chlorocebus sabaeus (green monkey) is the source of this 101-nucleotide unclassified non-coding RNA. It matches the Rfam family "Y RNA". From Rfam's summary of the family: Y RNAs are components of the Ro ribonucleoprotein particle (Ro RNP), in association with Ro60 and La proteins. NCBI's taxonomy places the organism in Eukaryota, Metazoa, Chordata, Mammalia, Primates, Cercopithecidae. The record is from Ensembl.